GCCUGAUGGAGGGGGAUAACUACUGGAAACGGUAGCUAAUACCGCAUAACCUCGCAAGAGCAAAGAGGGGGACCUUCGGGCCUCUCGCCAUCAGAUGUGCCCAGAUGGGAUUAGCUAGUAGGUGAGGUAAUGGCUCACCUAGGCGACGAUCCCUAGCUGGUCUGAGAGGAUGACCAGCCACACUGGAACUGAGACACGGUCCAGACUCCUACGGGAGGCAGCAGUGGGGAAUAUUGCACAAUGGGCGCAAGCCUGAUGCAGCCAUGCCGCGUGUGUGAAGAAGGCCUUCGGGUUGUAAAGCACUUUCAGCGGGGAGGAAGGCGACAAGGUUAAUAACCUUGUCGAUUGACGUUACCCGCAGAAGAAGCACCGGCUAACUCCGUGCCAGCAGCCGCGGUAAUACGGAGGGUGCAAGCGUUAAUCGGAAUGACUGGGCGUAAAGCGCACGCAGGCGGUCUGUUAAGUUGGAUGUGAAAUCCCCGGGCUUAACCUGGGAACUGCAUUCAAAACUGACAGGCUAGAGUCUUGUAGAGGGGGGUAGAAUUCCAGGUGUAGCGGUGAAAUGCGUAGAGAUCUGGAGGAAUACCGGUGGCGAAGGCGGCCCCCUGGACAAAGACUGACGCUCAGGUGCGAAAGCGUGGGGAGCAAACAGGAUUAGAUACCCUGGUAGUCCACGCUGUAAACGAUGUCGACUUGGAGGUUGUGCCCUUGAGGCGUGGCUUCCGGAGCUAACGCGUUAAGUCGACCGCCUGGGGAGUACGGCCGCAAGGUUAAAACUCAAAUGAAUUGACGGGGGCCCGCACAAGCGGUGGAGCAUGUGGUUUAAUUCGAUGCAACGCGAAGAACCUUACCUACUCUUGACAUCCAGAGAAUUUGCUAGAGAUACCUUAGUGCCUUCGGGAACUGUGAGACAGGUGCUGCAUGGCUGUCGUCAGCUCGUGUUGUGAAAUGUUGGGUUAA
RNAcentral lists this ribosomal RNA (960 nucleotides) under Pectobacterium carotovorum subsp. carotovorum. RNAcentral's name for it is "bacterial SSU rRNA". It matches the Rfam family "Bacterial small subunit ribosomal RNA", at positions 128 to 1083 of the family's 1533-position model. Lineage: Bacteria; Pseudomonadati; Pseudomonadota; Gammaproteobacteria; Enterobacterales; Pectobacteriaceae. The record is from RNAcentral.